AGCUCACUUUUCCGUGCUCACUCCUCGGAGCUUGCUUGGUUCCUUGUCCUCCUCCAUUUUCCCUAAAUCGCGAUGCAUUCUAGGGUUUCGAACCGAAAGGUAUCUGAAAUGACAAAAGUUAGAUCUCCAGAUUGAACCAAACGGGAAUAAGAAAAGUAAUGAUUUUUCAUGCUGUUUUCUUAAGCAUGCUUGUCUGUUCCCAGAGGGAAUGCUCUGUUACUUAAAAGCUAACAACUGGUUUUACGCAAGUGCUGGGAAGUUGACUUCAAAAUGGAUUUUCAGCUUCUGCAAUGGUUGCAAAGCUGCCUGAGCAAGCAUGUUAUUCUUUUGGUUCCUUAUGCAAAUAGCCUUCUGUACUUCUCAGUAAGCAUUAUGUCAGGUUUAUCUGUUCCCUAUAUUCUGUGGCAGCAGUUUAUCAUCUUCCGUACAUGGAUGAUGCACUUGAUUGGGUUAUUGAGCUUUCAUAUCCAGAUCGUCCAGGUAGAGGGCCACUCAAGACAUCCUGUAAACAAGAAAAGAUGGACAAACAUUCAUUUAAGAAAUUCCUCUACCCACCUGUAUGGUUAACAAACUUUUUUUGUAAAAAUGUUACUGCAGAUCACUUAUGAAGGUGAUGGGGAUAUACAUAUCAACAUAAAAAGUGACGAUGAUAUGAUGCCUCUCUCAGUCCCAAAAAGACAGCAUGAAAUACUUAUUUUGCUUUUCUUGGAUUGCUCAUCCAAUCAAUUUAGUUCUUUAGCAAAGAUGUAGAUAUUCAGCAGCAUUUUCUUUGUACUUACAUAUUAAAUGAUGUAGCUUUUCUUCACAUACUGCCCUUCAUGUGCUUAUACCAUCCUAAAACAUAUCAAAUAUUUUACCAGCAAUACCAAAUUACCAAUUAAAUUAUUCUUGGAAGAUGGGAUCUAAUUAUCAUUUCUUUAUCUAUCUAGGUGUAUGUACCAUGGUUCACAACUGCAUAACACAUGACUCCUCUUAAUUUGCUUAGUUAUUUGUCAGAAAGUCUAAAUUGAAAUAUCCAAUUUACAUGCAAAUUGUGAUGGAAGAAUACAUAUGUAAAGUUCUAUAACAUACCUAUGUAUGGUUUCUACAGAUGUCUUCUAUGCUACUAUUCCAAAUUCAUAUCCAACUAGCAAUUCGUGGUAUUCUGUAGAUUUUUCUUAGUUUACUUAUGUCCACCUUGUAGUCUUGUUCUUUUCCCCCCGCUUUUUUUUUUUUUCUGUUAAGAAGUUAAGUCAGGUUUCUUGCUGCUAGCUUACCGGCAAAGAAACUUGGCUGUGUAUGGGUGAGGUGUGUGAGCUGCCAAAAGAUGCACAGUGUUGCAUAUUUUCUUCUCCAAGAUUUCUCAGUCUUUCAAGCUCUGGCAACACUACUGUAGCAAGAUCUGGCCGGUCCUUCCGUCUCAGCUCUGCACAACUGAGUGCUAUCUUGGCUAAGCUCAAGGCUUCCUCCACUGGCCAAUCUGUCACUGAUGGAUCCAACAUUUCUGUGAACGUUCCCUUCUCAAUUGCGCGUUCCACAUGAUGUGUCAGCCCCAUGGGAGGUUUUGCAGUGAUUAUCUGCAACAGCAUGAUCCCAAGAGAGUAAAUGUCGGACUUUACACCAAGCAUGCCAGUCUGCUGGUAUUCAGGGUCAAUGUAACAGAAUGUUCCAGCAGUGGAGGUCAUGCGAUACUGAGUGACAUUUUCUGCAACAGAUGGGGGAACCAGGCGGGCAAGGCCAACAUCGCUGAUUUUGCUGACAUAGUUUCGGUCAAGGAGGAUGUUUGCAGGCUUAAGGUCUCGGUGGACCAGCGGCUCUGGCUUUGUCUGGUGCAGAAAGAGGAGGCCUGUGCCAAUCUCAGCAGCAAUGCGGAACCUAUACUGCCAAGGGAUUGGUGGUGUAUUUCCUCGCCGGAACAAGCGAUCUUCCAAGCUCCCAUUAGCCAUAUAUUCAUAGACAAGGCAGCCAUAUUCUGGGCAGGCACCUAGCAAAAGAACCAUAUUUGGAUGCCUAAUGCAGCUUAAAAUUUCAACCUGCAUUGAAGUUCACAUGCAACUAAAAAUAUUUAGGAUUCACCAUAGCAGCUGCUAGUUGUAGAGGAACUCUAUCAAGGUAAGACUUAAUUGGCUAUGGGAUCACCAAUAGAUGCAUGUCAUACUCUGCACAUGGUAUGCAUAUGGAGUAACUAACAGAGCUUUGACAGUGUGACAUGGCUGUGUAAAGUGUUUAAUACCUCUUGUUGAAACUGAGAUCUCCCUUGAGCUGCAUCUGGGCGCAGAACUUUAAUGGCGACAGGUGUGUGGUCCAGGUAACAUUUGUAGACAGGACCAUAGCCACCUUCUCCAAUAUUCCGCUUCUCAGAAAAGUAUUCCGUGGCCACUUCUAUCUCUUCUAUCGUGUACUUCCUAUACCUCACAUCUGUAUUUGCUAAAGCAUCCAACGCCCUCUUCUUCUCCUCAGCCUCUUUGAGCGCUUUCAUUUCUGCGUUGAUUCUCUUCUGUGCUUCUAACUCUGCGAUCCUUUUGGAGGCUUCAGCUGCCUCUAUGGCUGCCUUACAUCUUGCUUUCUCCCUCUCUACUAAGGCCAAAGCUGCUUCUUCCGCCAUUCGAGCUUCCUCUAAUCUCCUCUCUUCCUCCAUCUUCCAACGAUGGAGUUCCAUUGCCUGCAGUGAAAGGCAUAAUUAGCAAGGAUGUUAAGAUUAUGGAGAUGUGGUGAAAAAUUACCUUUUGUUUGGCUGUGAGUGCUUCUUUGCAGGCUGUACUGUACAUGUCCAUUGUCUGCUUGAGUUCUAGUCUCAGCCUCUUCAUCUCCGCCUCCACAUCUUCCUGCAAGUGAUGGAACAAACUGGUGACCAUCAACCAAGGAGGCAGGAUUGAGAAGUGUUCACACUCAUUGCCAUUUGUUAGUGGCAUCACAUAGCUUCAUGACCGGUGCUAAGUUGCAAAAAAUUUGCAGAUGUAAAUACACAUACCAUGGUGAGAGAUGAUGAUGUGCUGUCCUGAGACAUUGAAGAGAAUGCAGUCCCACAUGAGAAACCGCCAACCACUGACCUGCGUGGUGAUUGCAUCUCAAAGCUGUUAUCUAAGCUGUCAGACACGUUGGACAUCCUCUGAUUAAAGAUGCGAUCAAUGCUUGGCCUGCCACCACCCAUGAAUGAUAUAUCGCUGCGAUCAAUGCUUGCCCUGCCACCACUCACGAAUGAUAUAUCACUCUCUCCUAUACUCUCUGCAUAUGAUCUUCCAGUUGAGGCACGUGUUCCUCUGGUGAAUGGUGACCUGUUUGAGGUACCACAUUAGCUUGCAACUCAACAUAGUGGCAAAAGAAAGUACUACUAAUUGCUAUGGUGCAGCAAUGUUACUAUUUUUGCAUUGCAGGACAUAUUACCUGAUUGGUUCCCGUUCACUCUGCACAUUCCAAGUCCCUAAUGCUGCCUCACCUGGCAAUUGAAAAUCUCAAAAUUUCUUUGAGUGUAUGAGGCAAGUUUCUAUUUCCUAUUCAAAGGGAAACUGAUGAUAAGAGCAAUCGUCAUGUUUACACAAACCUCUGACACCAUGAGGGUGAGGUGGGUCUACAUGUUCGUUUCUUAUACUUGAUUGGCUUUGGAUUUGAGCCCGGAAUGGGGAGACGGUUGGUGCUGGUCGGACAGCAUUCCUCAUGGAGGACACCUUCCCUUUGGAUAUGAUGUAGACGGUGCAGAAAUCAGGUGCACCUUUGGAAACACUGGUAGAGACAUCUGUAGUCCUAAAUCUUCAGACAGAAAAGAUAUGACAAUAAGUAUUCUGAGAGGGCAUGUUUCUUCUACAACCAGAGACUUCCACUCCAUUGUGACAUUGCUUGAGUGAAUCAAUUACCUAACAAAUCCGCCUUUUGAAGGUGCACCAACAACAAGCUUUUCAAUAGCAGCAUGCGAGACAAACUCUAUGAUUGCCUUUGCUAUAUCAGUGUCUUCAAGUAUGAUAUCCUUGCAUUGUACCUGUUGAAGAAACAGAAAACUGGGUCAGAGAAUAUUUUGGGAUUUAUGAAUGGUGGACACUGUCUACUAGAAAAUUGAGUGAGACAUGUCCAUCAAUGAAAUGCAGUAGCAAACUCUGUCUGACCUGAAAGGCCAGGCAGAGACAAGGUUAACAGGUCUUCUCUCAGGACUGUAAGCAUACAGGGGUACCAUGUAUGGUGGUUUCAUUUUCGUUAUUGGAUUUGGUAUUUGAGAAUCAGAUAAAAAGAGGAGGGGAGUGUGUCCAUGACUGUAGUGUUUAUUCACAAGUGGGAGUUGCCAGCUCUCUUAACUGCCAAAUUCCUGGACAGCAUAAGAUGGGACAACGUCUAGUAUCUUUUCAUGAUCAUGAGGACCACGAGGUUGAAUAUAACCUGAAGGCUUGUUAUAUCUGGUCAAGAUCUGAUCGCACUGGCCUGCUAGGAAAGAAAUAGCAGAAUAUCUAAUGUCUUAGAAUGCUAUGCAUUGGUGCUGCCAUGGUAUCCCACUUUACACAGCUGGGAAGAGAUUCUCCCAGUCCGAGAGCCAAAUUUGUUGUGGAUUUGGACAUCUGGCCGUGAAAACAGUAGAAAAGAAGGUGGCUGUAGCUGUUGGAUGCUACCUUAAAGAAAUACAAGGACCACGAAACUUUGGUGAUGGAAAAUGUAGUAGAGAUUAUUCUUCAUUUAAAUAUGGCAAUAGAGAUCCUUCUU
Long non-coding RNA from Elaeis guineensis (African oil palm), 4662 nucleotides. RefSeq lists it as uncharacterized. The record is from RefSeq and is a predicted model, not a curated record. NCBI's taxonomy places the organism in Eukaryota, Viridiplantae, Streptophyta, Magnoliopsida, Arecales, Arecaceae.